GUGCCAGCAGCUGCGGUAAUACAUAGGUCGCGAGCGUUAUUCGGAUUUAUUGGGCGUAAAGCAAGCGCAGGCGGAUGGCUAAGUUCUAUGUUAAAAGCGGCUGCUCAACAGUCGUUUGCAUAGAAUACUAGCCGUCUAGAAUAUGGUAGGAAGUUUUGGAAUUAAAUAUGGAGCGGUGGAAUGUGUAGAUAUAUUUAAGAACACCAGAGGCGAAGGCGAAAACUUAGGCCAUUAUUGACGCUUAGGCUUGAAAGUGUGGGUAGCAAAUGGGAUUAGAUACCCCAGUAGUCCACACCGUAAACGAUGGGUAUUGGGUGUCGGGGCUUGAGCCUCGGUGCUGUAGCUUACGUGUUAAAUACCCCGCCUGGGUAGUACAUAUGCAAAUAUGAAACUCAAAGGAAUUGACGGGGACCUGAACAAGUGGUGGAACAUGUUGCUUAAUUCGAUAAUACACGAAAAACCUUACCAAGGUUUGACAUCCCUCGCGAACCCAUAGAAAUAUGGUGGAGGUUAUCGAGGUGACAGGUGGUGCAUGGUUGUCGUCAGCUCGUGUCAUGAGAUGUUUGGUUAAGUCCCGCAACGAGCGCAACCCUACUCUUUAGUUACUUUUCUAAAGAGACUGAACAGUAAUGUAUAGGAAGGUUGGGAUCACGUCAAAUCAUCAUGCCCCUUAUGCCUUGGGCCGCAAACGUGUUACAAUGGCGAGUACAAUGUGUCGCAAUCUAGCGAUAGUGAGCUAAUCACUAAAACUCGUCUCAGUCCGGAUAAAAGGCUGCAAUUCGCCUUUUUGAAGUUGGAAUCACUAGUAAUCCCGUGUCAGCUAUAUCGGGGUGAAUACGUUCCCAGGUC
Molecule: ribosomal RNA, 849 nt
Filed under: uncultured Mycoplasma sp.
Lineage: Bacteria; Bacillati; Mycoplasmatota; Mollicutes; Mycoplasmatales; Mycoplasmataceae
Description: bacterial SSU rRNA
Rfam family: Bacterial small subunit ribosomal RNA
Source: RNAcentral